RNAcentral lists this long non-coding RNA (5633 nucleotides) under Lactuca sativa (garden lettuce). RNAcentral describes it as "long non-coding RNA (LSAT_LNC005504)". Lineage: Eukaryota; Viridiplantae; Streptophyta; Magnoliopsida; Asterales; Asteraceae. The record is from RNAcentral.
CUGAAAACAAUAAUAAUAAUAAUACGAAAAAAUAAUAAUAAUAAGAAUAAUAUGAGAAAAUAGAGAGAAGCAAAGGUACCUGUUGGUGGCCAUAUAUGUAUUCCUCAGUAAUUCUAACUGCAGUUGAUCCCAAACUCCAUCUGAUUACAUCCAUUGAUGGAUUCACACGCCAUCUUGGCCCACAUAGAAAUGGAUGUCUUAGAGCAUCUAAACAUCUGUAACAAAUCUAAAUUACAACCUUUUCAAACAAAAAUUAGUUAUUAUAUCAUUUCACUAAUGUAAUACCCAAACUAUUUUAUAGAAUGGAGUCCAACUUUUGAUGCUCUAAGCUUAUAUAUAUAUAUAUAUAUAUAUAUAUAUAUAUAUAUACUCAGUNNNNNNNNNNNNNNNNNNNNNNNNNNNNNNNNNNNNNNNNNNNNNNNNNNNNNNNNNNNNNNNNNNNNNNNNNNNNNNNNNNNNNNNNNNNNNNNNNNNNNNNNNNNNNNNNNNNNNNNNNNNNNNNNNNNNNNNNNNNAUUGAAUAGAUGUGUACUUACUUGCAGACCAAUAUUUCCAUGUGAUGAAUUCAUGUUUAGAGUUGGUAGGAGGAACUCACGCAAGCAAGAAGGAUCAUUUCCCUGAACAGAUGAUGAGAAUAAGUGGAUAUUACAUUGGUUUAGUUUUUUAGGAUUCUGAUUGAAUUUAGGGUUUUUAAACAUGAAUAUAUGAUAUAGUAUAGACAUUAAAAACCAGUCCUUUUAAUAAAGAGAAACAUAAGAAAUAUGUUUACCUUGUUGAGGAAUGCUUUGAACUUUGUGAAGAUAACUGGAUCCAUAAGUUCCCGUAAUACCAUUUUUGCCAUGAUGAAUCCAAGACAUCUAAUUUAAUAUAUUAUAAGAUUAGAAUGAUCAUCUCCCUUAUCAUAAACAUACAUAAUUUCCUUCUUCCUUUAGGCUACUACUUUUGUAAAUUACAUGUUUUGCAAGAGUAACCCUAACAAUUUUUGUUUAAUUCAACACAACAAGUAUCUCUUUGUUGACUGCAUACCUCAUAUCAAAUGCAAUCAUCAUUUGUUGUCUGUCCAUGUUGUUUUCAAAAAAGUCAGCAGCAUUCCCCAAUAUUCCUACCUGUUAUAAAAAGUCAAAGAGCUAUAAGAAAGGAAAAAUAUAAAUCUUGCAUCCUAAGUAAGUGUUUGGUUUGUUGGUUGUAAAUUGAAAUGGAUGCAAUUCAAUUUGUUCGAUUCCAUUCUUCCUUUUCUAUCAAAAGACGAAAAUACCCUCUCAUUUUUUCUAACACAUCAACAUAACAUACUGCAAACCAAGCACUCCCUGUUGUCUUUUUGGUAUCAUGAAAUGGAAUCACAAAGGUCCACAGAAUGAGCCAUUAUUAUACCAUUAUUAUGUUUGAUUGGCUUGAAGGAAUUUAACCGGAAUCCUGAGUAAAACUAAAAUUGAUAAAUAUAAAUUUAUAAAUUAAACUUUACUCAAAUGAACACUAAAUAAAUUACAUAUAAGCGUGUUUUUAUGUUUGUUUGAAAAUUGAAAUAUACCAUGUGUAUUUCCAAUAGUAAAAAAUAACUAUUCAACACUUUGAAAUACUUGUUUACAAAUAAAGUGAAUACCAUGAAAUCUCAAAAUACGAAGAAAAAUAAAUAUAUCUUUAUCUAUUUUUGAGAAUAAUAAAAAUAAUUUAAUCAAAGUUGUGAUUUUAACAUUUGUAGAAGCAAAGAAAUAUGAAUACAUACGAUUGGUGUGGCUUGAGAAAUAAGAAUACUCACUUUAAUAUGUCUAUCGACUGGACUUAUAUGAACAUUCUCCAAUCUCAACUCUGUAUGGGCAAGUCCAUGACUAUGUAAAUAGUUUACCUGAGUGAGGUACAACAAAAUCAAAAUCAACAUCAACAUGAAAGCGAAUAUUUUUGACUUUUGAAGUCUUUAUUCUUCAACUUUGACCUUAAAUAUUUUUGUUUUUGAUAUAUAAUACUUUAUGCAAAAUGCAUGAAUGGAUUGUGUUUUAAAUGUCUUUUCAUCGUUAUAAGUUUCAUCAAGUGAUUUAUAACACAAAUAAAAAUAUUUAAGGUCAAAGUUGAAGAAUAAAGACUUCAAAAGUCAAAAGUGGACAAUAAAUAUGGGACAUAGAGUAUUUAACUAUUUAUUAAGCAACGUACUCCAAUGAGUAGAUCUCUCAUGAGAAUUCGAGUAACACGGAGUUGGCGAGAGACCGCAGGGCCGCCUACGGUAUCAUCACCGGCCCUCCUCACCGCAGAUUCUUCGUCUAAAGCAAGCGUAGCUUCUAAUGUUGGGAGCCAGUCUGUCUGACGAAGCCAGUGCCUCAAAGACAAACCACCAUGAUACUACAUGCAUCAUGUUCAUCUUCAAUUAUAUUAUAUACGUAAAAUUAUAAAUAAUCACUUUUGUAUUUAAGAAAAUAAGAAAAAGUUAAUUUUUAACUAAAAUCAUAAAAAGUUUACAUAAAUGAAAAUCGGUUAGUUUUUAUGGUGGAAUGAAAAUUGAGAAAAUGGAAGGAAGCAAUUAAAUUCAUUUAAUAAAAAGUUAAUAGGACCUACCCCAUGAACAAGGGUAAAAGAGCCCUCAUCCUCCGUUGUUGUUUCUGGGGAGAAGACGUAACCAUGUACUUGCAUUGAAUAUGAAUGGUACAUCAUUUUACGGCGACAAAGCUUCUUUAACACCUACACUCCAAAUUCCAAAUCCAAACAAUGAUACAUACAUACAUACAUACAUACAUACAUACAUGAUGAUGAUGCUGAUGAUGAUGCAAUAAAUAUUAUGAAUUUGAUAAUGAACAUAACUAGUAAGCAGCCACCUGCAUAGCGCGUUUCCCUCUGCGUUGUGCUUGAGCACUAGUGAGUCGCCGAAGCACCACUCUCGUAUUAUGCAAUGGGCUGCAUUUUCAUACGUUGUGAGUUAUGAGUAACUUAAGCUAUUGGGGUUGGGGUAUUAUGUAAUAGCUACCUAUCAGUGUCAUUGAUUAUCGCUUCAAAUACAACCUCAUCUCCCUACAAUCAAUCACCACAAAUAUCACGUCCAAUCCAACAGACAGACAUACAGACAGAUAGAAUGAUAGAUAGAUAGAAUUAAUAUAUUUGCAUACCCGUCCACCCAAGCCAAUGCUAACGCGAUCACUGAUCUUAAAAUCAGAAAAUUUAAACUUGAUAACAUGGCUAAAUUCUUCUCCUUCCAAAGAAUCCGAAUCUUCGAAUUCAAGUGGAGAUAGGGCCUCUUUCUCUCUCGAAAGUGAACACCUAAUUUUGAUUUGUGAUUUUUGUUUGUAAAAUAAAUCAAAACUAGUCCACAUUCGAGGCAAGCAACUUGGUCUUAUCAGUGUUGAUGGAAAACUAUUAGUGUAGCAUUUGCUUGUUUCCAUAAGGCCACUUAAAUAAUGCCCUCCCUGUAAAGUCAUUUGAUUCUGAAACAAAAGUGAUUAUUGACUUAUACAUGUAAAAUGACCAAAAAGGACAUUCUUACAUAUUUAGAAAUCUAAACUUUAAUGAUUUUAGUAUAGUUUUUUUUUCUAUUAAGAGACACGGUAUUUUAAAGAUGAAAACUUUUUUAGCAUUAUACUUUCAAAAGAAACCUAUCAAGACAAUGCAGUUACUAAUAAUAUAACUCUGUCAAACUUUUGGAUCUACUCAUGUAUCUGUAUGUAUAGUUUCCAUAAUUCAAAACCACUUUCUUGUAUUACAUGUAAAUUUACAUGGCUUAACAUGUUAACCACAUUUUCUUGUAUCUUAAAUGGACACGUGGCUUAUAAAUUGGAAAACAAUGUACUUCACUUACAAUGAUAUCUAGUUAUGUUGACCAUUCCUGAUGAUUUGUUUGUUACUUUUAAAUAAGUCUUACAUUUGGUACUAAGAAACGUUUUUUCUUUUGGGACUGUGGUAAUAUAUAUCUUUUUCUUUUGGCCCAUUCAAAUCUAAUUAAAAAAACAGAUGUACAUAAUUCUUUUAUCUAACUGGAUCAGAUGUAUGGAUGAUUAGGAGGUUUAUCAAGUGAUUUUUAAAACAAAAGCCCAAACUAUAUCAACAAAAUCAGAUUAUAACACCAAACAUAAGUGCUUAUUGUUAACAACUUAACAUGUAACCAGAUAAUCACCAAACUAAAUCAACAAAAUCAAAUCAGAUUAUAAGCUUCAUUGAUUCAAAAAAAUUCAUGUGCUUAAAAUAUAAGUGCUUUAUUGAUUAAAAAUAAUCAUCAGCUUAUCACGAGGUGUACAGAACCAGAAAAAGAAAGUGGAAUUCCAAACCAGAAAUUUUACUCAAAUUAGGAACAAGAAUUAAGCUCUAGAUACAAAAUCGAACAAGAAAGUUAUAUGCUUCAUCGAUUCCAGAAAUCAAACAUCAUGUAUCAAUCGAGGAGGUGUAACCGGAUAAAGAAAGUCGGACUUACCAUAUAAAGGGGCAAUAGCCGGCGCCAGCGAUAGGAAGUCUGGACCGGAGGUGAAGAAGGGUCGCAGCUCUUCUCUCUGAUGAACGUUACGAAGGAGCGUGUAUGGGGAAGGAGCCUAACAACGUGAACAGGGUAUUCCAAUUACGGAAAAUUGGAACAAGAAGACUUGCCUAAUCGAAUUCGCAUGAACAAUUAGUUAGGGAUGAAAUUCAUUUAGGGAUUUGUUAGUUAACAUGGAGGGGUGAUAUAGAUUAACAGAGAGUGUGAUGGUUGCGUGUAAUAGAUUCUCAACGUGCGUCUUUCUCAUGCCUACAUCCGUCCGGCCGGUCUAUUACUGCUGAACGCGCGUGCCAAGGGACCGACCACAUCAGUUUGACGGGGUUAACAGUUUUAGCCAUGUUUUAGAGACCAUUUUUUUUUUUUUUUUUAAGUUCACUUAUCAUGUAAUUUUAUUUGGUUUAUGUCCAGCUAAUUUUGUUUUUUUACGCAUUUAGGUAACGAAUUUCAUUUAGGUAACGAAUUUGAUAUAAGUGUUUAUAUAUGACAAUUAUGAUCAGAUAUAACAAGUUAUAGAUGGUCAUAAUGAUCAUGUUUGAACACUUUCAACAAGUUUGUUAUUUAUAUAUAUACAAAAAACGAAGUUACUAAAAUAUGAACAAAACAAAAAGAUAAUUACCCUGAUAAUUCAAUUUGUCUUCUUUUUUAUUUAGCUCCUAAAUUUAACUUAAAUGGUAAAUAUUUUUAAAAUCAUACCAUUUUGAUAAAUAUCUUUUUUUAAAUACACUACUUUGAUAAUUAAAAAUUGCAGAUCUGUCACACAUCUGGCCGAUGGCGGAAACGUUGGGCAGUGCGAACGUGGGGAAAUUGAACUGAGACAUAUAUAUAUAAAACAUAACACAAGGUUUAUCGCAAACAUUUUUUAUUUAUUAUAAAUUAUUCCGGGGUUAUAUUACUUUUUAAAAGACAAACACAUUUCCUAAACAGAACUAAGACAAUAAACAAACAAUGCUUAAACUCCAGCAGCUUCUUUGUAGACUUCCUCCUUCUUGACACGACUAGCAUCCUCCUCCUUGACACGACUAUUCUCUUUCUCACUCAUCUUCCUAAGAAUAUAUAUAUUUUUGAAAACAUCAAUAUAACAUAAUGUUGGUGAAUGCAUAAGUUUUUAGAGUUUUCGGCUUUUAUUUGGUUAUAUUAGUUUAAGAAUCAUUUUUCUUUCAGAAAAACCUUUCCUAAAGUAUUCUAUCAAC